This 253-nucleotide ribosomal RNA is filed under the name uncultured bacterium. RNAcentral's name for it is "partial 16S ribosomal RNA". It matches the Rfam family "Bacterial small subunit ribosomal RNA", at positions 524 to 776 of the family's 1533-position model. The record is from RNAcentral.
UACGUAGGGGGCAAGCGUUGUCCGGAAUUAUUGGGCGUAAAGAGCGUGUAGGCGGUCCGGUAAGUCGGCUGUGAAAGUCCAAGGCUCAACCUUGGGAUGCCGGUGGAUACUGUCGAACUCGAGUCCGGAAGAGGAGUGUGGAAUUCCUGGUGUAGCGGUGAAAUGCGCAGAUAUCAGGAGGAACACCGAUGGCGAAGGCAGCACUCUGGGACGUGACUGACGCUGAGACGCGAAAGCGUGGGGAGCAAACAGG